This is a long non-coding RNA of Pan paniscus (pygmy chimpanzee), 783 nucleotides long. NCBI's taxonomy places the organism in Eukaryota, Metazoa, Chordata, Mammalia, Primates, Hominidae. The record is from Ensembl.
UUGAUGUCAAUUGCAUAUUCCUAAUUCAUACUUUCUUCUCUCCAUUUCAUAAAUAUUUGUUUUCCAGGUAUCACAGAAAGAAUUGAAAGGCAAGGUUGUCAGACAGAUAUGGCAGCUAAGACACCAACUGAGGAAUGUUAUCAAUGUAGCUCCGUGAAAUUGCCAUAUUUUACAUCCUGCAGUUCUGCAGUCAAGUGGUGGUAUUUUUGUCACAGCCCACAUCAAAGCCCAGAUGGCGUGAGGGAGGGAUGGAAAUGGGGCUCCAUAACCCCCAGGAACUCUGAAGAUUUCAUCUCCUAAGUGGUAUUGUCCAUCUGUUUCUGCAACUUCCUUAGCAACUUGACAAGAGCCAGAAUCCAGACGCUGGGAAAUGUGAAUGUUCCAACAUGGCUGACCAUCAUGGAAUGAGAUCAACAGAUGGAAAUAGGAGGCUUCAUCUUCUUCAUCUUUGUCCUGAGGCUCCAUCAGCCAGGUUUCCAGCACACAUUAAACCCAGGGGCUCUGUGAGGAGCAAAGGAAAGCACACCACAAGAGCCAGAGGGAGAGAGCUUGGCAGAACUCUGGAGGGAGCCUUUCCAAGACCUGCUUUUAGUGGAAGCUACAAAACCUCCUGGGAGGAGACUGAAUUCCAUGUUGGUGUUGCACUAUUGCUUUAAAGUGCCACCCUUUCCCUGGGACCAGCAGACAAUUGUACCCAUUAUUUUCUGGUUCUAAGGAAGGAUAAACUUCCUUCUAAGGCUUCAGGGAUGACAGAUGCCUUCUUGGGUAAGUGAGGAGACUGAA